AGCGAACGCUGGCGGCAUGCCUAACACAUGCAAGUCGAACGAGACCUUCGGGUCUAGUGGCGCACGGGUGCGUAACGCGUGGGAACCUGCCCUUAGGUUCGGAAUAACUCCCCGAAAGGGGUGCUAAUACCGGAUAAUGUCUUCGGACCAAAGAUUUAUCGCCUUUGGAUGGGCCCGCGUUGAAUUAGCUAGUUGGUAGGGUAAAAGCCUACCAGGGCGACGAUCCAUAGCUGGUCUGAGAGGAUGAUCAGCCACACUGGGACUGAGACACGGCCCAGACUCCUACGGGAGGCAGCAGUGGGGAAUAUUGGACAAUGGGCGAAAGCCUGAUCCAGCAAUGCCGCGUGAGUGAUGAAGGCCUUAGGGUUGUAAAGCUCUUUUACCCGGGAUGAUAAUGACAGUACCGGGAGAAUAAGCUCCGGCUAACUCCGUG
This 433-nucleotide ribosomal RNA is filed under the name uncultured bacterium. RNAcentral describes it as "partial 16S ribosomal RNA". It matches the Rfam family "Bacterial small subunit ribosomal RNA", at positions 29 to 507 of the family's 1533-position model. The record is from RNAcentral.